CCUACGGGUGGCAGCAGUGGGGGAUAUUGGACAAUGGGGGCAACCCUGAUCCAGCGACGCCGCGUGAGUGAAGAAGUCUCUCGGUAUGUAAAGCUCCAUCUGCAGGGAAGAAAGAAAUGACGGUACCUGAGUAAGAAGAGUAGGCUAACUACUGGCCUGCAGUCGCGGUAAUACGUAGGAGGCAAGCGUUAUCCGGAUUUACUGGGUGUAAAGGGAGCGUAGACGGUAAUGCAAGUCUGGCGUGAAAGGCGGGGGCCCAACCCCCGGACUGGUCUGGAUACUGUGUUUCUGGAGUGCAGGAGAGGCAGGCGGAAUGUCUAGUGUAGCGGUGAAAUGCGUAGAGAUGAGGAGGAACACCGGUGGCGAAGGCAGCCUGC
Molecule: ribosomal RNA, 377 nt
Filed under: uncultured bacterium
Lineage: Bacteria
Description: partial 16S ribosomal RNA
Rfam family: Bacterial small subunit ribosomal RNA
Source: RNAcentral